GAUGAACGCUGGCGGCGUGCCUAAUACAUGCAAGUCGAGCGAACAGAUCAGGAGCUUGCUCGUCGGACGUUAGCGGCGGACGGGUGAGUAACACGUGUAUAACCUACCUAUAAGACGGGUAUAACUUCGGGAAACCGGAGCUAAUACCGGAUGAUAUAUUGAACCGCAGGGGGCGAUGGUAAAAGACGGUGGUUCGGGCAGUAAUAGAUGGAUCCGCGCCGCAUUGGCUAGUUGGUAAGGUAACGGCUUACGAAGGCAACGAUGCGUAGCCGAACUGAGAGGGUGGUAGCCCACCCUGGAACUGAGACGCGGUCAAGACUCCUGCGGGAGGCAGCAGUAGGGAAUCUUCCGCAAUGGGCGAAAGCAUGACGGAGCAACGCCGCGUGAGUGAUGAAGGCCUUCGGAUCGUAAAACUCUGUUAUUAGGGAAGAACCAAUGUGUACGUAACUAUGCCGUUAUUGACGGUACUUAAUAAGAAAGCCACGGCUAACUACGUG
This 497-nucleotide ribosomal RNA is filed under the name uncultured bacterium. Its description in RNAcentral is "partial 16S ribosomal RNA". It matches the Rfam family "Bacterial small subunit ribosomal RNA", at positions 28 to 507 of the family's 1533-position model. The record is from RNAcentral.